This 810-nucleotide ribosomal RNA is filed under the name Triticum aestivum (bread wheat). Its description in RNAcentral is "partial small subunit ribosomal RNA". The record is from RNAcentral. Lineage: Eukaryota; Viridiplantae; Streptophyta; Magnoliopsida; Poales; Poaceae.
AUGUGGCGUUCGCGAGCUCGCGCUCUCCUCCUGCUCCGCUCGUCCGCCCCCAGUUCGGCACCGCCGCAGCAGAAUCCACUUCGGAGCUUGGCCCGAGCCCCGCCCCCGCCGCCACGCCUUCUCUCCCGCUUCCUCUCCUCCUCCUCCCAGAAGGCCCCGCCGGCCGCCUCCCCUCCCUCGUCUUCCUCGCCCGGCGCCGCGCCCGGAUCCGCUGCACCGCCGGCCUACACCGGAAACCUGAAGAAAGCACUUGCAGGGUUGAGGAGAAUUGAUUUAGAAGGGUUGCGGUGGCGUGUUUUUGAUGCAAAGGGCCAGGUACUUGGACGGUUGGCAUCCCAAAUAGCUGUUGUGCUUCAAGGCAAGGACAAGCCAACCUAUGCACCUCAUGUGGAAGCUGGAGACAUGUGUAUUGUUCUUAAUGCGAAAGAUAUCUGUGUUACAGGAAGAAAAAUGACUGACAAAAUUUACUACUGGCAUACAGGGUAUAUUGGCCAUCUCAAGGAAAGAAAGCUCAAGGACCAGAUGGCAAAAGACCCAACUGAAGUGAUCCGUAAAGCUGUCAUGCGCAUGCUUCCCCGCAAUAAAUUGCGUGAUGAUAGGGAUCGUAAGCUGAGGAUAUUUGCUGAAGGCGAGCAUCCGUUUCACGACCGGCCUCUCGAGCCUUUCGUCAUGCCGCCACGGCAAGUGCGUGAGAUGCGCCCCCGGGCAAGACGUGCGAUGAUAAGGGCACAGAAGAAGGAUCAGGACAGGGAAGCUAAGAAAGCCGAGGGAGAAGCAGCUAAGAAUGGCAAAGCUGCGGUCGCUGCAUAA